CCUCUGGUGUACCAGUUGUCCUGCCAAGGGCAUGGCUGGGUAGCUAUGUACGGAAUGGAUAAGCGCUGAAAGCAUCUAAGCGCGAAGCCAACUUCAAGAUAAGAUUUCCCACCGCAAGGGUAAGACCCCAGAAAGACUAUCUGGUUGAUAGGUCGAAGGUGUAAGUGCAGCAAUGUAUUUAGCUUAUCGAUACUAAUAGGUCGAGGACUUGACCAAU
This 217-nucleotide ribosomal RNA is filed under the name Clostridioides difficile. RNAcentral describes it as "partial 23S ribosomal RNA". It matches the Rfam family "Bacterial large subunit ribosomal RNA", at positions 2706 to 2925 of the family's 2925-position model. Lineage: Bacteria; Bacillati; Bacillota; Clostridia; Peptostreptococcales; Peptostreptococcaceae. The record is from RNAcentral.